UAGGAACCGAAGGCGACCGACCCUUCGGGAGCUUGCACAGGUGCUGCAUGGCUGUCGUCAGCUCGUGUCGUCGAGAUGUUCGGUUAAGUCCGCUAACGAGCGCAACCCUCGCUGUGUGUUACAAGUGUCACACGGUACUGCCGGUCUUAAGCCGGAGGAAGGUGGGGAUGACGUCAAAGUCAGCAUGGCCUUUAUGUCCUGGGCUACACACACGCUACAAUGGCCAACACAAUAGGUUGCUAAGCCGCGAGGUGGAGCCAAUCCUCAAAGUUGGUCUCAGUUCAGAUUGCAGGCUGCAACCCGCCUGCAUGAAGAUGGAGUUGCUAGUAACCGCAGGUCAGCUAUACUGCGGUGAAUACGUUCCCGGGGCUU
RNAcentral lists this ribosomal RNA (372 nucleotides) under uncultured Leptolinea sp. Its description in RNAcentral is "bacterial SSU rRNA". It matches the Rfam family "Bacterial small subunit ribosomal RNA", at positions 1000 to 1382 of the family's 1533-position model. The record is from RNAcentral. Lineage: Bacteria; Bacillati; Chloroflexota; Anaerolineae; Anaerolineales; Anaerolineaceae.